RNAcentral lists this long non-coding RNA (1250 nucleotides) under Nicotiana tabacum (common tobacco). RNAcentral describes it as "long non-coding RNA (NTAB_LNC011961)". Lineage: Eukaryota; Viridiplantae; Streptophyta; Magnoliopsida; Solanales; Solanaceae. The record is from RNAcentral.
UAAAAAUGAAUUACAAUAGAAGGAUGAAGCUACUAAUAUUUCUCAGCGUCAUUAUCUUUCAUUCCAACUCGAUUUUAUGAGCUCACAUGGUCCGAAAAUUACCUGGACAGCAGAAAGAAGAAUAAAUACAGCAGAGUCAACUCUUUCCAAAAUCAACAACAAAACAACUAAAUGGGUAGCAACAACAGCAAAAGACAGCGACAAUCGGCAGAUUCAAACCCAAGAAAACAAAAAAAAGCUCAUAAUUUUCAGCUGCUAAGGGAUAUUAUAGCUACUGAUUUUUCCUCUUUUUGUGUGUAGAGAGAUCUAAGUCAGAUGGAGUGUCCUCCUUCUUCUUUUUUAUAUAUGAGAAACAACCAGCUAUUUCAAGAUUAAAAAUCAAUCUUUUUGACAGAUUUUCCCACAAAAUCUGCUCUUAAAUUCAAAAGUAAGACUUUUUUUAGUUCAAAUCUUGUCAAAUAUUUCAAAUAAAAUCUGUUCUUCACUAUUCAAAGAUAGACUUUUGUUCAAAAACUGUCCAAAAGUCUAUAUUUUCUUACCAGACAAUUUGACUUUUGAGUGUUGUACUCAAAGAGUCUUGAAGUAGUAAAUAAACAAACAAACAAGUACCCUAUUCUGUCAAGUAUUCUUCACUACCUCACUUUUAUCAAUACAAAACUAUUUACUACUUCAACAAGUACAACAACAGAAAAUUUAACAUUUCAAACUUCAAAAACUAAUGGUAAAAUAAUUAAUAAUAGACAAAAAUAAAAUCUAAAAAAUAAAAAUAAAAUAAAAAAACCAUGAAAAAGAAUAGGAUUUUUACCAUUUUACAACUCAAGUGGCCGAAAAAUGGUGGUAUACCAAAAGAGAGUGUUCGGGGAGGUCGCCGGAAUUUGGCCAGAUUUUGGUAGCUGGAUUUUGGGGUAGAACUGACAUCAAUAGGUAGGUCUUGAGGAGCUCUAUCCAUUGAUGUAGGUAUUGUGGUGCGGUAGUGGCCGAAACAUCAAGAAUUUGGGCAAAAAAAAUGACGGAAAAAUUUCUUAGAUCUAAGAUUCAAGGAGUUUGAGGGUUUUUUGAAGGAUUUGGUUUGGAGAUAUGGAAAGAGGAGGUGUUGGAAAUUACAUGGUGAAAUUUUGAGAUGGUUUGGAGGUGGUCCGCCGCUGGUGGGCGAUUUCCGGCGGCGGUGGAGGGGCGGCGGUUAUGGAGAAAGAGAGAGUGAAGAUAGAGAGUAGAGAGAGAGGGAGGAGAAAAAAAUUAUGGGAGAAAUG